This 389-nucleotide ribosomal RNA is filed under the name Pycnococcaceae sp. Its description in RNAcentral is "partial small subunit ribosomal RNA". It matches the Rfam family "Eukaryotic small subunit ribosomal RNA", at positions 582 to 975 of the family's 1831-position model. The record is from RNAcentral. Lineage: Eukaryota; Viridiplantae; Chlorophyta; Pseudoscourfieldiophyceae; Pseudoscourfieldiales; Pycnococcaceae.
AUUCCAGCUCCAAUAGCGUAUAUUUAAGUUGUUGCGGUUAAAAAGCUCGUAGUUGGAUUUCGGGCGUGGAGGUUCGGUCCGCCGUUUCGGUGUGCACUGUCUUUCUGCGUCUUUCUGUCGGUGACGCGCUUCUGGCCUUAAUUGGCUGGGACGUGGAUUCGACGAGGUUACUUUGAAAAAAUUAGAGUGUUCAAAGCAAGCUAAAGCUCUGAAUACAUUAGCAUGGAAUAACGCGAGAGGACUCGGUCCUUAUUUUGUUGGUCUUCAAGGAUGGAGUAAUGAUUAAGAGGGACAGUUGGGGGCAUUCGUAUUUCAUUGCUAGAGGUGAAAUUCUUGGAUUUAUGAAAGACGAACUUCUGCGAAAGCAUUUGCCAAGGAUGUUUUCAUUA